CAUAUGUUUCAUGCUUGUUUGAGUAAUAGCAAUAAGAUUCCCCAAUAUCAUGCUAAGAAUAUCUAGGAUUUCCAGAAAAAAGAUUCCAUUCGUUUGAUGAGAAAUAAAAAAGAAUAUCAAAAAUUUGAGUGGCUGAAGCCGAAGCAGCUACUUUCAAAGUAACAUAAAGAAAAGCAAUGACUGGAGUGGGAGAGUCAGAGUCGAAAAGAGGAUUCCUCACUUUUUUCUCUCAUUCAAAACCGUGCAUGAGAUUUUCAUCUCACACAGCUCCUACGUGAUAAAAGUAAAGAAGAACUUAUCUUCUUUCCUUUUUUAUUACCUUCCUCGAGUAUGUAUAAGAUCGAACCCAUUCGAUUUCUAAAAUGGAUUACUAAUCCUUAAAUUUUUGAGGAAUCCUUCAUCAGUGGUUGUCAAUGACUAAUUUUUCUUAAUCUUUUUGACCUUGGUUCCAUAGGACCAAGUCAGAAAGAUUGAAAUGGGAUUAGAUACCCCAGUAGUCCUAGCCGUAAAUGAUGGAUACUAGGCGCUGUGUGUAUCGGCCCGUGCAGUGCUGUAGAUAACGAGUUAAGUAUGCCACUUGAGGAGUACGUUCGCAAGAAUAAAACUCAAAGGAAUUUACGGGGGCCCGCACAAGUGGUGGAGCAUGUGGUUAAUUCGACGCAAAGUGAAGAACCUUACAAGGGCUUGACCUACAGCGAAUCCUCUUAAAAGAGAGGGGUGCCUUCGGGAACGCGGACACAGGUGGUGCAUGGCUAUCGUCAGCUCGUGCCGUAACGUGUUGGGUAAGUCCCGUAACGAGUGCAACCAUCAUGUUUAGUUGCCACUAUUGAGUUUGGAACCCUGAGCAAACUACCAAUGAUAAGUCAGAGGAAGGUGAGGAUGACAUCAAGUCAUUAUGCCCCUUAUGCGCUGGGUGACACACAUGUUACAAUGGACAGGACAAAGGGUCACGAUCCCGCGAGGGUGAGCUAACUCUAAUAAUACGUCCUCAGUUCUGAUUGCAGGCUACAACUCGCUUGCAUAAAUCCAGAAUUCCUAGUUAUCGUCGAUCAGCCAUACGGUGCUGUAUUCGUUCCCGGGCCUUGUACACAUUACCCGUCACACUAUGGGAGCUAGCCAUGCCCGAAGUCAGUACCUUAAUCGCAAUGAGAGGGAUGCCAGAGGCAGGUCUAGUGACUAGAGUGAAGUCGUAACAAGGUAGUCGUACUGAAAGGUGUGGUUG
RNAcentral lists this ribosomal RNA (1222 nucleotides) under Gossypium raimondii (Peruvian cotton). Its description in RNAcentral is "bacterial SSU rRNA". The stretch from base 355 to 1222 matches the Rfam family "Bacterial small subunit ribosomal RNA". Lineage: Eukaryota; Viridiplantae; Streptophyta; Magnoliopsida; Malvales; Malvaceae. The record is from RNAcentral.